This 522-nucleotide ribosomal RNA is filed under the name uncultured bacterium. Its description in RNAcentral is "bacterial SSU rRNA". It matches the Rfam family "Bacterial small subunit ribosomal RNA", at positions 8 to 518 of the family's 1533-position model. The record is from RNAcentral.
AGAAUUGAUCUAGGUUCAGGAUGAACGCUAGCUACAGGCUUAACACAUGCAAGUCGAGGGGCAGCGAGAAGGAAGCUUGCUUCUUGUCGGCGACCGGCGCACGGGUGAGUAACGCGUAUCCAACCUUCCCCUUAGUAGGGCAUAGCCCGUAGAAAUGCGGAUUAAUACCCUAUGUUGUUCGAUGCGGACAUCUAAGUUGAACCAAAGGUUUACCGCUAAGGGAUGGGGAUGCGUCCGAUUAGGCAGCAGGCGGGGUAACGGCCCACCUGGCCGACGAUCGGUAGGGGUUCUGAGAGGAAGGUCCCCCACAUUGGAACUGAGACACGGUCCAAACUCCUACGGGAGGCAGCAGUGAGGAAUAUUGGUCAAUGGGCGAGAGCCUGAACCAGCCAAGUAGCGUGGACCAGGAUGACGGCCCUAUGGGUUAGUAAACUGCUUUUAUGCGGGGAUAAAGUGCGGCACGUGUGCCGUUUUGUAGGUACCGCAUGAAUAAGGACCGGCUAAUUCCGUGCCAGCCGCCGC